AGAUUGAACGCUGGCGGCAGGCCUAACACAUGCAAGUCGAGCGGAUGAAGAGAGCUUGCUCUCUGAUUCAGCGGCGGACGGGUGAGUAAUGCCUAGGAAUCUGCCUGGUAGUGGGGGACAACGUUUCGAAAGGAACGCUAAUACCGCAUACGUCCUACGGGAGAAAGCAGGGGACCUUCGGGCCUUGCGCUAUCAGAUGAGCCUAGGUCGGAUUAGCUAGUUGGUGAGGUAAUGGCUCACCAAGGCGACGAUCCGUAACUGGUCUGAGAGGAUGAUCAGUCACACUGGAACUGAGACACGGUCCAGACUCCUACGGGAGGCAGCAGUGGGGAAUAUUGGACAAUGGGACGAAAGCCUGAUCCAGCCAUGCCGCGUGUGUGAAGAAGGUCUUCGGAUUAGUAAAGCUAACUUUAAGUUGGGAAGGAAGGCAAUUAACCUAAUACGUUAGUGUUUGACGUUACGAACAGAAUAAGCACCGCUAACUUCGUG
Molecule: ribosomal RNA, 489 nt
Filed under: uncultured soil bacterium
Lineage: Bacteria
Description: bacterial SSU rRNA
Rfam family: Bacterial small subunit ribosomal RNA
Source: RNAcentral